This 120-nucleotide ribosomal RNA is filed under the name Betta splendens (Siamese fighting fish). Lineage: Eukaryota; Metazoa; Chordata; Actinopteri; Anabantiformes; Osphronemidae. The record is from RNAcentral.
GCUUACGGCCAUACCACCCUGAGCACGCCCCGAUCUCGUCUGAUCUCGGAAGCUAAGCAGGGUCGGGCCUGGUUUGUACUUGGAUGGGAGACCGCCUGGGAAUACCAGGUGCUGUAAGCU